UACGUAGGGGGCAAGCGUUGUCCGGAUUUAUUGGGCGUAAAGAGCGUGUAGGCGGCCGCACAGGUCCGUUGUGAAAACUGGAGGCUUAACCUUCAGACGUCGAUGGAAACCGUGCGGCUAGAGUCCGGAAGAGGAGAGUGGAAUUCCUGGUGUAGCGGUGAAAUGCGCAGAUAUCAGGAAGAACACCCGUGGCGAAGGCGGUUCUCUGGGACGGUACUGACGCUGAGACGCGAAAGCGUGGGGAGCGAACAGG
Molecule: ribosomal RNA, 253 nt
Filed under: uncultured bacterium
Lineage: Bacteria
Description: partial 16S ribosomal RNA
Rfam family: Bacterial small subunit ribosomal RNA
Source: RNAcentral